This is a long non-coding RNA of Aedes albopictus (Asian tiger mosquito), 2001 nucleotides long. RefSeq lists it as uncharacterized. NCBI's taxonomy places the organism in Eukaryota, Metazoa, Arthropoda, Insecta, Diptera, Culicidae. The transcript is spliced from 4 exons. The record is from RefSeq and is a predicted model, not a curated record.
CACCACAAACGAAGAUACAGACGGAGCAGUAAUCGUUUUUUUCGGUCGCACCUACUUUCGCAAGCCCCUCUUGUAUUAUGUAAUUGCGCUUUGGUGAACCCCUUGAACGGGCGAAAACUCAGCGAACUGUCAUGCGACUUGUCACUGAGCGAACUGUCAAGCGACUUGCUUGUUUAUAAACAUUGAAAGUGUUCUGCUUUUUGCUCCCCCAAAAAUCAAGCCGGUCGGGGUAGAAUUCCGAAACACCGGAAAAAUAGAACCUCCGGAAAGCUUCGAUCCUCUCCUCAACGGACGGAGUGAACGACGACGGGUACAUUUUCGAUCCGGCAUUCGUAGAGUACGUGAAGGCGCAAACGAACCGGCUAGGAGCGCAUCAUGUGCGACGGAGGGUUCUUCGUGAAUAACAACUCAGGAGAUUAUCUCGAAGCAGCUGUACUUGUAGUGCUACUGGCAUUGGCAGUGAUCCGAGCAGGAGGGAACUUUAAUAUGAAGGUGUUUGACCUGAUCAAAUCCUAUGGAAAGUGCCUAUCGUAAAGCCAGCUUUUAGUCGGCAGGCCAUCUCGGAGCCGACUUCAACGACAACGAUUGAGGAGGCUUCUUUCUUCAAUCGACAAUCCGGAUCAAACGAUCGGUGCAUGGACGCUGUGGCGUCACUGAAAGUUGUUACAAAAAACGUCUCGCCGACGGAUGGAUUCGUGCGCCAGGCCAGCGUGGAGUUCGGAACGACCGCUGAAUAAGUCCUUCGGAAAAUCAAACGAUUGAUUCUUUAUGCCGGUGGAUGUAACGGCCGAUCAAGGUAAACGUAUUCGGACGGGUUUUCUGAGCAACGGCAAUGUGUUAUACCUACUACGAUCAGGACAAAUCCGGUUGGACGCAAAUUAAGAACAUCCAAGUAAUUCUAUCGCCGCGGAGGGUUUUAUACGGGGAAAUUAGAGGAAAGUUCGGCCGAGGAUCUAGUACGCCAAAGCCAUGAUCGACCGCUGGCUGGUCCAUCAAAAUGCUUCCUCUUUUCGGCCGGUCCCGGUCCGGCGCAAGACUUAACUUCCGAUGAUGAAACUAGAUGGCUUCUUCAGCAAUGUCUCGAUCCACGAGCUGAUUGACGGCACCAAUGUGCUCGGGAGCAACUUGGAGCGUUUCGACAUGGAAGCUUCGCGGUUCUACAUUCCCCGAGGGCCGUUCUUCGUGCGAAGUGUGCUGACCGGUUCGAAGUGAGUCGAGAAGCAGCUUUGGCAGCCGGAUCCUGUGGGCCUGGAGCAAAACCAGCUACAUCUACUCGUCGGCGCAGCGGUUCGAGGCGCCCAAAGAACUGACACUGCGGUCUACCGGCAGGAUUUUGCGGAUGGUUCUAUACAGAGAAAUUUUUGAAGAAAAUUCUGCCAAAGGAUCAAACGCAGAAAAUCGAUCAUGCACAUCUUCGAUGCAGUGCUCUUGGGUGGUCUGGAAGUUCACCGAAGCCUUGAAUCGAGGCCCAUCAAAAUGGUUCCGUUGGCCUGUUCGGCCGGUGCAAAACUUUACUUUUAAUGAUGGAACUAGAUAGCUUAUUCAGCGAGGUAAUCGACAGCGCCAAGGUGCUCGAAAGCGACUUGAAGCAUUUCGAUGGGGCGGAAAUAAAGCUGUUCUACCUUCUCCGAAGGUCGCUCUUCGUGCGGAGUGUGAAGAAGUUCGAAAUGUGCCGAGGAGCAGCUGGAUUUUCGGAAGACUCGGCAGCUGGAUCAUGUGGACCUGGAGCAAAAAGAACCAGAUCUACUCGGCGCUGCCGUUCAAGGCGCCCAAAGAACCGAAACUGGUCUACCGGCAGGAUUUCGAUGCAUUCAUUGAGAAAUGCUCCGAUUUAAAGUGAGUGACGUGAAGUGGCGCUAUGUGUAAGGUAGUUUCGGAAUAAACUACCCAGUUUUAAAUUUAAGUCUCAGUAUGUAUUAUGAUGUUCAAUUAAUGUUCACAAUAAAAUAUCUUAUCUCUACAGUUAGGCACUCGGCUUGAAAUAAAAGCUAUUGUACUCAA